GAUGAACGCUAGCGGCAGGCUUAACACAUGCAAGUCGAGGGGCAGCGCGGGAUAGCAAUAUCCUGGCGGCGACCGGCGGACGGGUGCGUAACGCGUGAGCGACAUGCCCGUUGCCCGGGGACAACCGGUGGAAACGCCGACUAAUCCCCGAUGGGAUAUUGUGCCGCAUGGCGCGAUAUUGAAAGUUACGGCGGCGACGGAUUGGCUCGCGUCCGAUUAGCUUGUUGGCGGGGUAACGGCCCACCAAGGCUGCGAUCGGUAGGGGUUCUGAGAGGAAGGCCCCCCACAAUGGGACUGAGACACGGCCCAUACUCCUACGGGAGGCAGCAGUGAGGAAUAUUGGUCAAUGGGCGGAAGCCUGAACCAGCCAUGCCGCGUGCGGGAAGGAGGCCCUAUGGGCUGUGAACCGCUUUUGCCUGGGGGCAAUAAGGGCGUCGCGCACGUCCGAUGAGAGUACCAGGCGAAUAAGCAUCGGCUAACUCCGUG
Molecule: ribosomal RNA, 486 nt
Filed under: uncultured bacterium
Lineage: Bacteria
Description: partial 16S ribosomal RNA
Rfam family: Bacterial small subunit ribosomal RNA
Source: RNAcentral